CAGCCGCCGCGGUAAUACGUAGGUGGCAAGCGUUAUCCGGAAUUAUUGGGCGUAAAGGGUGCGUAGGCGGCCUGUUAAGUUUAUGGUGAAAGCGUAGGGCUCAACCCUAUUAAGCCAUAGAUACUGGCAGGCUAGAGUGCAGAAGAGGGUAGUGGAAUUCCAUGUGUAGCGGUAAAAUGCAUAGAUAUAUGGAGGAACACCAGUGGCGAAGGCGGCUACCUGGUCUGUAACUGACGCUCAUGCACGAAAGCGUGGGGAGCAAAUAGGAUUAGAUACCCUAGUAGUCCACGCCGUAAACGAUGAAUACUAAGUGUUGGGGAAACUCAGUGCUGCAGUUAACGCAAUAAGUAUUCCGCCUGUGGAGUAUGCACGCAAGUGUGAAACAUAAAGGAAUUGACGGGGGCCCGCACAAGCGGUGGAGUAUGUGGUUUAAUUCGAAGCAACGCGAAGAACCUUACCAGGCCUUGACAUCCCUUGCAAAACUGCAGAGAUGCAGUAGAGGUUAUCAAGGUGACAGGUGGUGCAUGGCC
Molecule: ribosomal RNA, 530 nt
Filed under: uncultured archaeon
Lineage: Archaea
Description: bacterial SSU rRNA
Rfam family: Bacterial small subunit ribosomal RNA
Source: RNAcentral